This 363-nucleotide unclassified non-coding RNA is filed under the name uncultured bacterium. Its description in RNAcentral is "contains 16S-23S intergenic spacer region". The record is from RNAcentral.
UCCCCGUUGCCGGGGCAGUCUGAAUAGAAAAAUACAACUAUUCACAAGGGUUGCGCUCGUUAAUGGACUUAACCAAACAUCUCACGACACGAGCUGACGACGGCCAUGCAUCAUCUGUCACCGAGCUCAAUAAAGCACUCUCGCCUUUCGGCAAAAUUCUCGGGAUGUCAAACCCUGGUAAGGUUCUUCGUUUAUCAUCGAAUUAAAGAACACGAUCCACCGCUUGUGCGGGUCCCCGUCAAUUCCUUUAUGUUUUAGUCUUGCGACCGUACUCCACAGGCGGGAUACUUAACGCGUUAGCUUCGCUACUGAAGGGGUCGAUACCUCCAACAGCUAGUAUCCAUCGUUUACGGCGUGGACUAC